Molecule: ribosomal RNA, 253 nt
Filed under: uncultured bacterium
Lineage: Bacteria
Description: partial 16S ribosomal RNA
Rfam family: Bacterial small subunit ribosomal RNA
Source: RNAcentral
GACGUAGGGCGCGAGCGUUGUCCGGAUUUAUUGGGCGUAAAGAGUUCGUAGGUGGUUCGUUAAGUCUGAUGUUAAAGACCGGGGCUCAACUUCGGGACUGCAUUGGAUACUGGCGGACUUGAGUGUGGUAGAGGCAAUCGGAAUUCCAGGUGUAGCGGUGAAAUGCGCAGAUAUCGGGAAGAACACCCGUGGCUAAGGCGGCUCUCUAGUACGGUACUGACGCUGAGACGCGAAAGCGUGGGGAGCGAACAGG